Antechinus flavipes (yellow-footed antechinus) is the source of this 1828-nucleotide long non-coding RNA. RefSeq lists it as uncharacterized. The record is from RefSeq and is a predicted model, not a curated record. Lineage: Eukaryota; Metazoa; Chordata; Mammalia; Dasyuromorphia; Dasyuridae. The transcript is spliced from 3 exons.
GGCUAGCAGGCAGCAUUGUGCAAGAAGAGCCAGACCUUCUAGAAUGGUUCUUGUUACAAGUUGGCCUGUUGUACUGAGGUUUAGAGCUGACUUUUGCAAGCAGGCCCCAUGCUUGGCACGAAUUUCUGAUUCAGGUUAUAAAUUGGGAUAUGAGUGGAGUGACAUGGAGCAAAAGAUGAGAGGGAAAAAAUGAAAUAAGAACAUCAAGAGGCAAAGAAGAAAAAACCCAACCAAAAAACAGGGUUCAUCUUCACAGUUCACUGAAAUAAAAAGACAAACAACCAAAAAAAACCCUUUUUUCUCCUCCAAAGAGUAAUGUCAAAUGGUUCUGUUUCCAGAGAGAAUUUAUAGAAGAACUCAAAAAAGACUUUAAAAAUCAAAUGAGAGACAUUGAAGAAAAACUAAAACUAACUAAACAAAUAUCACUCAAGAAAAACAAAAUAUUGAAAAAAUUUAACCAGCUAGAAGAGGAGAUACAGAGUCUUAAAGAUGAAAAUAAUUCUUUUGAAAAUUAGAAUUGGGCAAAGGAAGCCCAUGAAGCUAUAAGAGACCAAGAAAUAACAAAACAAUGUAAAAAUGGGGAAAAAAUAGGACAGAAAGUGUAAAAAAAUGAAAAAAUAGGACAGAAUGUGAAAUAUAUUAUAAGAAAAACAAUGGAUCUGGAGAACAGAUCAAGAAGAAAAAAAAUCUAAAAAUAAUUGCAUGACCUGAAAAUUGUGGGAAAAAAAAAGAACCAUGACACAAUAAUGCUAGAAAUAAUUCAAGAAAAUUGUUCUGUAGAGAUAGAAUAUGAUGAGAAAGUAAAAAUAAUAAUAAAAAACCAAUCAUCACUACCUCAAAGAAAUCCUUUGUGGAAAACACAUAGGAAUAUUAUUGCCAAAUUUUGAAACCCCCAGAUCAAAGUAAAAAUUUUGCAAGAAAUAAGAAAAAAAAACAAUUGAAAUACACUGGAGCUACAACUAGAAUUGCACAGGACUUACAAGUAGCCACAAUAAGAGAUAGCGGGUCCACAAAUCAUAUACACUGGCAAUUAAAAGAGCUAAGCCUGUGGUCAAAAAUAUUAUAUUCAGAAAAAUUAUACAUAAUAUUAAAUGAAAACAAAAAUGACAUCUAAUGAACUUACAGAUUUUCAGGACUUUUUUCAACCAAACCCAAACUCAGUAGAAAAUUUAACAUAUAAGAACUGAUAUCAAGAUCAAUUUCAAGGAACUUAAUAUAGACAAGUUGUUUUUUACAUGGAAAUGCAUACCGUAUAUUUAAGAUUGACAUAAGCAAUUGGAUAACUCAAAAAAAAAUUGGGACAGAGUUGAGUAUGAUCUGACUCUAAAAAGCAAAACUGCCUAGGAAAAGAUAAAAAUAGUAAUUAUGUUAUACAAAUGAGGUGCAGAGGAAGAAUAGACAGAGAGACAUUAGAGAAGGGAGGAAGGCUCAUAGCUCUGACAACCUAUUUAACAAUGUAUUCUCAUCAGAAAUGAGUUAAAUAGAUAACCUUACACAUAUAUCAUGAAGGGUAUAACACCCUCCAAAAUCUACCAAAAAAUAAGUGGGGAAGAGAUGGGUAGAUGGGGCAGCGAAGAGUGAGGGAAGAAAACAAGGGAAGAAUCCAUGCCUGGGGGAAGGUUAAGAUAAAUUAAGGAGCAGAAUUAAAGCAGAAGAAUUAGCAGGGACAGGAAAGAAGAGAUAUACAUGAACAUUAUAACAAGGAUCAGAAGUAGAAAUUAUUAGAAAAAAUGUAUUGAUCUUAAAUAAACUCAAACUUAAAGAUUCAAUCAAAAGAGAAAUAAACAUGUGUCAGCCAUAAUAUUAUUUUAGGGGAAUGUUUACAUAU